GCUCGGUUAUCACGCCAGGAGUUCGAUUUUUGGCGCCCAGCUACUAGAAGUACCCUCUCAAAGGCCAUAGAUGCGACAAGUCCAGGGCCCGACUAGGUUUUGCCAAGGGAAAUCACCUGCACUUUUUGAUCCUGUUGUUACAAACGAGCAGCACCACGUAAACAAAAUCUGUCACUCCUGCUGGGUAAAGAAGCGUGGUCGAGAAUUUCUCAGCUCUGACUUUUAACGCAAUGGCCAUUGCGCAGUUCGUCACCCAUGACGGCACGAAUACCUAAGGGACAAGCCACUUCCAGCUCAGCGGGUAUCUUACUUCUGAAGUAGAAAGCGCUUUCUCGUAUGCUGGCUUAAAUAUACUUGCCCAACUAAUUGAACCAAUCAUUCCCAUGGUGCUAACGGGCAACGGGGAAUCAGGGUUCGACUCUGGAUAGGGAGCCUGAGAAACGGCUACCACUUCCAAGGAAGGCAGCAGGCACGCAACUUACUCAAUCCCUGCACGGGAAGGUAGUGACGAAAAAUACGCAUACGAGACCCACUGGAGGUUCUGUAAUUCGAAUGAGUACAAGUUAAAUCGUUUAACGAGGAUCUACUUGAGAGCAAGUCUGUUGCUAACAGCCGCGGUAACUCUAGCUCCUGAAGCGUAUAAUAAAGUUGCUGCAGUUAGAGGGUCAUAUUUGGAUCAGGGUUGCAUGGUUACAAACCGUUGCUCUCGGGUCUGGCCUGGUUACUGCCGGGUUGAGCUUGCAAAUCGAUCUCGUGGUUGUGCUUACUUUCUGCUGUGUCUGUUUGCAGGUGCCAGCGUGACUGGUGGGCUUUCCGGCUAGUCUUCUGGCAUGCAUUUUGGUGCCUUUAAUUGGGUGUUACAGGUGAACAGCUCGUUUAAUUUGAACAGAUUUGAGUGCUCAAAGCAGGCCUUUGUGCCUGAAAGUUCUUGCACGGAAUAAUGAAAUAGGACUUUGGUUCUAUUUUGUUGGUUUUCGAAUCCAAAGUAAUGGUUGGGAGGAACAGAUGGAGGCAUUUGUAUGGCGGCCUUAGAGAUGAAACUCUUGGAUCGCCGCCGGCGAAAGCAUUUGCCAAGGAUGUUUUCACCGAUCUUGAGCUAAGGUCAGGGGUUUAAAGACGAUCAUAUACCGUCCUAGUUCUGACCAUAAGCGAUGUCAACUGACGAUCUGUGGUGGGUCUGUAUGCGUCGCCUCGGACAGUCCCCGGGAAACCCUGAAAUCUUUGGGCUCGGGGGAAGUAUGGUUGCAAAGAUGAAACUCAAAGGAAUUGUCGGAGGGGCACCAACAGGAGCGGAGCCGGCGGCCUUAUUCGACUCAACACGGGAAAACUCACCCGGCCCGGACACUGUGCUGAUUGACAGAUUAAUAGUUCUUUCAUGAUUCGGUGUUUGGUGGAGCAUAGCCUUUCUCAGUCGGUGGAGCAGUUUGUCUGAUCAAUUCCGAUAACGAACGAGACUCUGGCCUGAUAAGUAGUAAACCUGUCUUCUGUGCUCGUGCAGGUUGCAUUGUCCGUUACCUCAUUGUGGAGUAGUGGUGACGUUGAUCGGUGGGUGCGGCCCAGGUACUUACAUUUAAAAGGGACAAGCGGUAUUCAAUCGCACGAAAUUGAGCGAUAACAUGUCUGUAAUACCUUUAGAUGUCCAGAUCCUCACGUGCGCUACAAUGAAGGAUUCAGCGAGUUUGGAAUGCUGGCCUGAGCAGGUUGGGUGAACUGUAUCCUAACCGUCGUGACUGGAUCGGGGCUUGCAAUUGUUUCCCGUGAACGAGGAAUUCCUGUUAAGUGAAAGUCAUAAGCUUGCGCUGAUUACGUCCCUGCACUUUGUACACACCGCCCGCCACUACCACCGAUGGAAUGGUUUAGCAAGGCCCUCGGAUUGGUGCCAUUGUAGUGGCUUCAGCCGCUCGCCCGAUGCUGAGAAGAAGACCAAACUUGAUCAUUCAGAGGAAGCAAAAGUCGUAACAAGGUUUCUGUAGGCGAACCUGUGGAAG
This 1988-nucleotide ribosomal RNA is filed under the name Fasciola gigantica. RNAcentral's name for it is "SSU rRNA". It matches the Rfam family "Eukaryotic small subunit ribosomal RNA". The record is from RNAcentral. Lineage: Eukaryota; Metazoa; Platyhelminthes; Trematoda; Plagiorchiida; Fasciolidae.